RNAcentral lists this non-coding RNA (46 nucleotides) under Trichobilharzia regenti. The record is from RNAcentral. Lineage: Eukaryota; Metazoa; Platyhelminthes; Trematoda; Strigeidida; Schistosomatidae.
GUACUGGUGCAGAGUCCCAAACUAGGACGAAACAGCUGUCCAGUAC